GACGAACGCUGGCGGCGCGCCUAACACAUGCCAGUCGAACGGAGUCAGGAGGAGCUUGCUUUUCUUGACUUAGUGGCGAACGGGUGAGUAACGCGUGAGUAACCUGCCCUGGAGUGGGGGACAACAGUUGGAAACGACUGCUAAUACCGCAUAAGCCCACGGAUCCGCAUGGAUCUGCGGGAAAAGGAUUUCUUCGGUUCAGGAUGGAGGCGCGUCCGAUUAGCUAGUUGGUGAGGUAACGGCCCACCAAGGCGACGAUUGGUAGCCGGACUGAGAGGUCAAACGGCCACAUUGGGACUGAGACACGGCUCAGGCUCCUACGGGAGGCAGCAGUGGGGGAUAUUGCACAAGGGGGGGAAACCCUGAUGCAGCGACGCCGCGUGGAGGAAGAAGGUUUUCGGAUUGUAAACUCCUGUCGUUAGGGACGAUAAUGACGGUACCUAACAAGAAAGCACCGGCUAACUACGUG
Molecule: ribosomal RNA, 469 nt
Filed under: uncultured bacterium
Lineage: Bacteria
Description: partial 16S ribosomal RNA
Rfam family: Bacterial small subunit ribosomal RNA
Source: RNAcentral